This 87-nucleotide transfer RNA is filed under the name Herpetosiphon geysericola. It matches the Rfam family "tRNA". From Rfam's summary of the family: Transfer RNA (tRNA) molecules are approximately 80 nucleotides in length. Their secondary structure includes four short double-helical elements and three loops (D, anti-codon, and T loops). Lineage: Bacteria; Bacillati; Chloroflexota; Chloroflexia; Herpetosiphonales; Herpetosiphonaceae. The record is from Rfam by way of RNAcentral.
GGAGCAGUGGCCGAGCGGUUGAAGGCGACUGUCUUGAAAAUAGUUAGGGUGUCAAAGCCCUCGUGGGUUCGAAUCCCACCUGCUCCU